RNAcentral lists this long non-coding RNA (992 nucleotides) under Homo sapiens (human). Its description in RNAcentral is "HSALNT0069508". Lineage: Eukaryota; Metazoa; Chordata; Mammalia; Primates; Hominidae. The record is from RNAcentral.
AGAACUCCAUGAGCCAAUCUUCAAAUCUGACAGGGAUGGCGCCCAUGGAAUGAGGGGCCAUGUGCAGGCACAUUUACCCGGAAGAUCUGUGGCUCACGUGUGUUCGUAUUUUCAACUCAGGAGCCCGGUUUUCAGCUUCUCAGGUCUAAGCUUCCUGUAUGCUGGGAACUAGACUAUACUGCCUGUUGCCUGCAAUGAUAAAACGAAGAAAUAUUGUUCUGGGUUCUUAAAUGAAAACGCACUUUAUUGAGACUUGACUCAAGAAUUACAGAUAAAGAGAUGAAAAGAAAUACCUCCUGCCUCAGCCAUGAAGCCUUCACUGUAGAAACAACACAUGUGCUGACUGUCCCCUGGAACGGCCUCUCUCUUCAGGCCAACACAGUCCACUUUGGUUCUGCCAACCUGCUGACCAACCCCAACAGAUGGAAGGAAGGAAGAGAAAGCCGAGGUGCAGAUGACAUGGCUUAUGCAAUAUUUUUAUUGUGCCAGUAUUCAAAUGUAUUACAUUGAUUUGUUCUGACUGACAAUAAUGUGGAUGCUUUGAUAUCAGUGCGUUGGGUAUUAUCUUCAUUUUACAAAAGAGAAAAACAGACACUCAGACUAACCAAGUGACCUGGCCAAGGUCCCACUGUCACUCUUGACUAUGAAGUCAAAAUCCUUUACAGGGUUUAUCAGUCAGUGCCCUAGCAGGACACAGACAGCGUACUGAAAUUAGGAUAAUGUCAGGAGGGACUACUUAAAAUGGUGUGGAGAGUGUAGACGAACCACAAGGUAAAAUUCCUGUCCUUCUUAAGACUGGUGAGAGUGGAGCAGUUGCCACCAAUAGGCUGAUGAAAUAAGGGCAGAAAUGAUUACUCUGCGGGCUCCUAACCUUUUGUCACUCUGAUGAACUCCAAAGACCCUAUCUCAAGGGAAUGUCUUUAAAUGAAUUUAAUAAAAUACUAAUUACAGGGGGAGGAGCCAAGAUGGCCGAAUAGGAACAGCUCCGGUCU